RNAcentral lists this transfer RNA (72 nucleotides) under Bos taurus (domestic cattle). It matches the Rfam family "tRNA". Rfam says of the family: Transfer RNA (tRNA) molecules are approximately 80 nucleotides in length. Their secondary structure includes four short double-helical elements and three loops (D, anti-codon, and T loops). The record is from Rfam by way of RNAcentral. RNAcentral also lists the same sequence under 2 other names. Lineage: Eukaryota; Metazoa; Chordata; Mammalia; Artiodactyla; Bovidae.
UCCCAGGUGGCUCAGUGGUAAAGAAUCUGCUUGCCAAUGCAGGAGACGCAGGUUCAAUUCCUGGGUUGGGAA